RNAcentral lists this ribosomal RNA (489 nucleotides) under uncultured bacterium. Its description in RNAcentral is "bacterial SSU rRNA". It matches the Rfam family "Bacterial small subunit ribosomal RNA", at positions 28 to 507 of the family's 1533-position model. The record is from RNAcentral.
GAUGAACGCUAGCUACAGGCUUAACACAUGCAAGUCGAGGGGCAGCAUGGUCUUAGCUUGCUAAGACUGAUGGCGACCGGCGCACGGGUGAGUAACACGUAUCCAACCUGCCGUCUACUCUUGGACAGCCUUCUGAAAGGAAGAUUAAUACAAGAUGGCAUCAUGAGUCCGCAUGUUCACAUGAUUAAAGGUAUUCCGGUAGACGAUGGGGAUGCGUUCCAUUAGAUAGUAGGCGGGGUAACGGCCCACCUAGUCUUCGAUGGAUAGGGGUUCUGAGAGGAAGGUCCCCCACAUUGGAACUGAGACACGGUCCAAACUCCUACGGGAGGCAGCAGUGAGGAAUAUUGGUCAAUGGACGAGAGUCUGAACCAGCCAAGUAGCGUGCAGGAUGACGGCCCUAUGGGUUGUAAACUGCUUUUAUAAGGGAAUAAAGUGGGAGUCGUGACUCUUUUGCAUGUACCUUAUGAAUAAGGACCGGCUAAUUCCGUG